Gallus gallus (chicken) is the source of this 402-nucleotide long non-coding RNA. NCBI's taxonomy places the organism in Eukaryota, Metazoa, Chordata, Aves, Galliformes, Phasianidae. The record is from Ensembl.
CUCUGAGCAACUGGGAACAGAAAGAAUUGUGCAGACAAUGAAAUCGUGAAAAUGCACAUCUGACACAGAAGACCCAUCAUCCUGGAAGAAUUACUGUGCAUUCCUAAAAGCAGGAGCUUGGUUUGAAUUAGGAAAAAACAAACAAACAAAAAAAAAACCUGUUGAUAACAUGGGGAGAUUUAAAAACAUCAUAUUUAUUGUAAGAUCUCAGUCCUAAGCAGUAGUGAUUCAAGCAUCUUCAUGCUGUUGUGUGUAAUAUCUUGAACUGUGACCUGGGCUCCCUUUCUGAACUGAAGUGUUCUGCUACCAUGGCUACUGCUGAUGUAAGCUGCCAGCUUCCAGUGAAGUGUCCCUGUGUUCCUGAGAGAAAAAGAAAAAGGAAGAUUUGAUUCAGUAGCAGAG